This 27-nucleotide non-coding RNA is filed under the name Homo sapiens (human). Lineage: Eukaryota; Metazoa; Chordata; Mammalia; Primates; Hominidae. The record is from RNAcentral.
UAGCCAAGGAAAGGGGUGACAGAUGGC